Triticum aestivum (bread wheat) is the source of this 115-nucleotide non-coding RNA. The record is from Rfam. NCBI's taxonomy places the organism in Eukaryota, Viridiplantae, Streptophyta, Magnoliopsida, Poales, Poaceae.
AUUGUACUUCCUCUGUUCGAAAUUACUCGUCCAAAAAAUGAAUGUAUCUAUAUAUAUUUUAGUUGUAGAUACAUCCAUUUUUGUGACAAGUAAUUCUGAACGAAGGGAGUACUUU